UUGCAGUGACGGCAUGCUAUACAUGCAAGUCGAGCGGACAGAUGGGAGCUUGCUCCCUGAUGUUAGCGGCGGACGGGUGAGUAACACGUGGGUAACCUGCCUGUAAGACUGGGAUAACUCCGGGAAACCGGGGCUAAUACCGGAUGGUUGUUUGAACCGCAGGGUUCAGACAUAAAAGGUGGCUUCGGCUACCACUUACAGAUGGACCCGCGGCGCAUUAGCUAGUUGGUGAGGUAACGGCUCACCAAGGCGACGAUGCGUAGCCCACCUGAGAGGGUGAUCGGCCACACUGGGACUGAGACACGGCCCAGACUCCUACGGGAGGCAGCAGUAGGGAAUCUUCCGCAAUGGACGAAAGUCUGACGGAGCAACGCCGCGUGAGUGAUGAAGGUUUUCGGAUCGUAAAGCUCUGUUGUUAGGGAAAAACAAGUGCCGUUCAAAUAGGGCGGCACCUUGACGGUACCUAACCAGAAAGCCACGGCUAACUACGUGCCAGCAGCCGCGGUAAUACGUAGGUGGCAAGCGUUGUCCGGAAUUAUUGGGCGUAAAGGGCUCGCAGGCGGUUUCUUAAGUCUGAUGUGAAAGCCCCCGGCUCAACCGGGGAGGGUCAUUGGAAACUGGGGAACUUGAGUGCAGAAGAGGAGAGUGGAAUUCCACGUGUAGCGGUGAAAUGCGUAGAGAUGUGGAGGAACACCAGUGGCGAAGGCGACUCUCUGGUCUGUAACUGACGCUGAGGAGCGAAAGCGUGGGGAGCGAACAGGAUUAUAUACCCUGGUAGUCCACGCCGUACACGAUGAGUGCUAAGUGUUAGGGGGUUCCCGCCCCUUAGUGCUGCAGCUAACGCAUUAAGCACUCCGCCUGGGAGAGUACGGUCGCAAGACUGACACUCAGAGGAUUUGACGGGCGCCCGCACAAGCGGUGGAGCAUGUGGUUUAUUUCAAAGCAACGCAAAGAACCUUACCAGGUCUUGACAUCCUCUGACAAUCCUAGAAGAUAGGACGUCCCCUUCGGGGGCAGAAUGACAGGUGGUGCAUGGGUUGUCGUCACCUCCUGUCAAGAUAUGUUGGGUUAACUCCCGCAACGACCGCACCCUUGAUCUUAGUUGCCAACAUUCAGUGGGCCCCUCUAAGGUGACUGGCGGGUAACAACCCGGAAGAAAGGGGGGGGAUGACCUUCAAAUUCUUCCUCCCCCUUUUUUACCCUGGGUUUACACCGGGGUUAAA
RNAcentral lists this ribosomal RNA (1223 nucleotides) under Bacillus sp. (in: firmicutes). RNAcentral's name for it is "bacterial SSU rRNA". It matches the Rfam family "Bacterial small subunit ribosomal RNA", at positions 31 to 1229 of the family's 1533-position model. The record is from RNAcentral. Lineage: Bacteria; Bacillati; Bacillota; Bacilli; Caryophanales; Bacillaceae.